RNAcentral lists this long non-coding RNA (751 nucleotides) under Ananas comosus (pineapple). RNAcentral's name for it is "long non-coding RNA (ACOM_LNC000807)". The record is from RNAcentral. Lineage: Eukaryota; Viridiplantae; Streptophyta; Magnoliopsida; Poales; Bromeliaceae.
AGAAAGAGAGGGUAAGUGAUUAUCCUCGAGAGAGUUUUCGUUUUCCGCCGAAAUACAACGGAAAAGGAAAACUUCAAAUUUUCCCUAAAUCCGUAAAAAUAGUUUUACGGGAAAAUCAUUUUAUGUUGAACCAAACAAGUGGAAAAGCAUUUUUCAUUCCGAAAAAUAAUUUUUCAGUUCAUUUUACGCUGCACCGAAGACCCCCUAAGUAAAUUUUAUCUUGAUUCUAACUCUCUAAUCAAUAAAACAUUUUUUCAAAAUCUCACGAAUUGUAUCUUUUCCACACCAACAACGAAAAGCACUGUACUGGGCUCACACUGAGUAUUGGGCCUCAAAUUACACAACCUGAAACAAGUGUGAGCCUCAAAUUACACAACCUGAAACAAUAAAAUAACCUAGUUACUGCAUCAAACUUUGAUUGGGCCUCAAACAGAGGAUUUCAGUCACGUUCACCUUUACUGUGCAUCGACUUAUCUUUGAUGCCAUUGAUGCACUCUGUUUAGCUUCCACCUUGAAUAUAUUCAAAAUUUUCAAUCUUGUUGAUUCAUUGUGUCAAUGAUCUUCUAGUAAUAGUUUUGGAUACAGAUUGUAGGAUGUUUCUAUUGUUGUGAUUGAAAGAGUGUGUCUUUCAAAAAUUGCCAUGCUUGACCUUAGAAUAAUAUAGCCAAGGCAAGGCAACAGUGAUGUAGGAUGGGAUAUAGGAUCCUACGUUUUAGAGGGCUUCAAAUUAAUCUAAUCUAAUUUAAAAAAA